Molecule: unclassified non-coding RNA, 340 nt
Filed under: soil metagenome
Description: partial contains 5.8S ribosomal RNA, internal transcribed spacer 2, and large subunit ribosomal RNA
Rfam family: 5.8S ribosomal RNA (bases 1-120)
Source: RNAcentral
GAUGAAGAACGCAGCGAAAUGCGAUAAGUAGUGUGAAUUGCAGAAUUUAGUGAAUCAUCGAAUCUUUGAACGCACAUUGCGCCCUUUGGUAUUCCUUAGGGCAUGCCUGUUCGAGCGUCAUCUACACCCUCAAGCACAGCUUGGUGAUGGGCGCCUGUCCCGCCCCCCACGGGGGCGCGGACUCGCCUCAAAUGCAUUGGCGGCCGGCGACCUGGCUUCGAGCGCAGCAGAAACGCGUACUCGGGGACCGGGCGCCCGCUCCCAGAAGCCAACCCACCCAGUUUGACCUCGUAUCAGGUAGGGAUACCCGCUGAACUUAAGCAUAUCAAUAAGCGGAGGA